CAGCAGCCACGGUAAUACAGAGGGUGCAAGCGUUAAUCGGAAUUACUGGGCGUAAAGCGCGCGUAGGUGGUUUGUUAAGUUGGAUGUGAAAGCCCCGGGCUCAACCUGGGAACUGCAUCCAAAACUGGCAAGCUAGAGUACGGUAGAGGGUGUUGGAAUUUCCUGUGUAGCGGUGAAAUGCGUAGAUAUAGGAAGGAACACCAGUGGCGAAGGCGACCACCUGGACUGAUACUGACACUGAGGUGCGAAAGCGUGGGGAGCAAACAGGAUUAGAUACCCGAGUAGUCCCUGUCUCUUAUAC
Molecule: ribosomal RNA, 301 nt
Filed under: uncultured bacterium
Lineage: Bacteria
Description: partial 16S ribosomal RNA
Rfam family: Bacterial small subunit ribosomal RNA
Source: RNAcentral